Perca flavescens (yellow perch) is the source of this 882-nucleotide long non-coding RNA. RefSeq lists it as uncharacterized. Lineage: Eukaryota; Metazoa; Chordata; Actinopteri; Perciformes; Percidae. The transcript has 3 exons. The record is from RefSeq and is a predicted model, not a curated record.
AUCAGGCUAAUGACUCGCACCUGGGAGUGAGAAGGGGUUAAUUGGCCCUUAGAAAAAAGGACAGCAACAGGGCAAAGGCACAUGGGAGAAAAAGGAGGCCAUGGAGAACAUGAGGGACACAUAGAAGAUGGAGGAGAGCACACCAGGGAAGACGCUGAAAGCAAGAAAGAGCAUACGGAACAGUCGGAGAAGCAGCCAGGAGAUUGGACGAAGAGACACGGAAAAAGAACCUUAGAGCCCUGACGCUACAAUGAAGAAAACGCAAACACCGAUCGCUAGCUGAAAAAAGUGGGAUAGCGUAAAACUCUCCCUCCCAUGUAAAUCCCUUUUGAGACCGGUGUGUGGCAGGAGUUUCUUUCUGACAGAAACCACAGUGCAAUUGAAAGAUUCAAGGAUGGACAUUCCAGCUUGCAGGUGUUAGCAUCCUGAAGUCCUGACGCCUAUUCUCUGCCUGUCAGAUAAAAAGUUGUCUGCUACGGACAUUGAAAAUAUCUUCUGACCAAAGUCUGCAGGGAAGCAACAAGAGGGUACAGGAGGAAAAAACAUUAUCUUUCUGGGCAGACUACCUUCUUGAUUGUGAAGAAAGUCAAAGUGAAGUAACCCUGGAGGAGGAGGUCUUCAUGUUUGCCACAGCCAUUGUCAAUGUAUUACCUACGUGGUAAAAGUUGCAGAUAAAUUAAAAGCUUAUUUUGUUUGCAGUUGCACUGCAUUAAUAGUAGUGGCCAAAUGUUUGGGCCAAAUGUUUUUAGGGCAGGGCAAUAUAUCAAUAUUAUAUCGACAUAGAUAUACGAGACUAGAUAUUGUUUUAAAUUUUGGAUAUGUUGAUAAGCGUUGUCUUUUCCUGGUUUUAAAGGCUGCAUUAUUUGCCUUUGCCCACUUAGU